This 283-nucleotide ribosomal RNA is filed under the name Echinolaelaps echidninus. RNAcentral's name for it is "partial 28S ribosomal RNA". The record is from RNAcentral. Lineage: Eukaryota; Metazoa; Arthropoda; Arachnida; Mesostigmata; Laelapidae.
CCAGAGAUUCUGUGCACUAGUGCGCACCCGAACAUUGAAAAACUAUGCUGCUGCGGCAUCGGAGUGCAACAGUCCGUACCUAGUACGCAGUUGUGCGCUGGGUGCAGCUGGCUGGCGUAGUUUAGCUGUAAGACAGCUGUAGGCUGCGUUUAUGAUAGAUAGCUGCUGUGUCUGCAAAUUGGUUUAUUCCUUUUUGCGGUGAGUAUGUUAUCGUCAGUAAGCGGCCUGCCAUCAAUGUUAAGCAUUAGUUAUUUGACCCGUCUUGAAACACGGACCAAGGAGU